RNAcentral lists this ribosomal RNA (253 nucleotides) under uncultured bacterium. RNAcentral describes it as "partial 16S ribosomal RNA". It matches the Rfam family "Bacterial small subunit ribosomal RNA", at positions 524 to 776 of the family's 1533-position model. The record is from RNAcentral.
GACAGAGGGUGCAAACGUUGCUCGGAAUUACUGGGCGUAAAGGGUUCGUAGGUGGCCAACUAAGUCAGACGUGAAAUCCCUCAGCUUAACUGGGGAACUGCGUCUGAUACUGGUUGGCUUGAGUGCAGGAGAGGAAUGCGGAAUUCCAGGUGUAGCGGUGAAAUGCGUAGAUAUCUGGAGGAACACCGGUGGCGAAGGCGGCAUUCUGGACUGCAACUGACACUGAUGAACGAAAGCCAGGGGAGCAAACGGG